Molecule: ribosomal RNA, 1423 nt
Filed under: Enterobacter sp. P1(2015)
Lineage: Bacteria; Pseudomonadati; Pseudomonadota; Gammaproteobacteria; Enterobacterales; Enterobacteriaceae
Description: bacterial SSU rRNA
Rfam family: Bacterial small subunit ribosomal RNA
Source: RNAcentral
GCUACCAUGCAAGUCGAACGGUAGCACAGAGAGCUUGCUCUCGGGUGACGAGUGGCGGACGGGUGAGUAAUGUCUGGGAAACUGCCUGAUGGAGGGGGAUAACUACUGGAAACGGUAGCUAAUACCGCAUAACGUCGCAAGACCAAAGAGGGGGACCUUCGGGCCUCUUGCCAUCAGAUGUGCCCAGAUGGGAUUAGCUAGUAGGUGGGGUAACGGCUCACCUAGGCGACGAUCCCUAGCUGGUCUGAGAGGAUGACCAGCCACACUGGAACUGAGACACGGUCCAGACUCCUACGGGAGGCAGCAGUGGGGAAUAUUGCACAAUGGGCGCAAGCCUGAUGCAGCCAUGCCGCGUGUGUGAAGAAGGCCUUCGGGUUGUAAAGUACUUUCAGCGGGGAGGAAGGUGUUGUGGUUAAUAACCUCAGCAAUUGACGUUACCCGCAGAAGAAGCACCGGCUAACUCCGUGCCAGCAGCCGCGGUAAUACGGAGGGUGCAAGCGUUAAUCGGAAUUACUGGGCGUAAAGCGCACGCAGGCGGUCUGUCAAGUCGGAUGUGAAAUCCCCGGGCUCAACCUGGGAACUGCAUUCGAAACUGGCAGGCUAGAGUCUUGUAGAGGGGGGUAGAAUUCCAGGUGUAGCGGUGAAAUGCGUAGAGAUCUGGAGGAAUACCGGUGGCGAAGGCGGCCCCCUGGACAAAGACUGACGCUCAGGUGCGAAAGCGUGGGGAGCAAACAGGAUUAGAUACCCUGGUAGUCCACGCCGUAAACGAUGUCGAUUUGGAGGUUGUGCCCUUGAGGCGUGGCUUCCGGAGCUAACGCGUUAAAUCGACCGCCUGGGGAGUACGGCCGCAAGGUUAAAACUCAAAUGAAUUGACGGGGGCCCGCACAAGCGGUGGAGCAUGUGGUUUAAUUCGAUGCAACGCGAAGAACCUUACCUGGUCUUGACAUCCACAGAACUUUCCAGAGAUGGAUUGGUGCCUUCGGGAACUGUGAGACAGGUGCUGCAUGGCUGUCGUCAGCUCGUGUUGUGAAAUGUUGGGUUAAGUCCCGCAACGAGCGCAACCCUUAUCCUUUGUUGCCAGCGGUUAGGCCGGGAACUCAAAGGAGACUGCCAGUGAUAAACUGGAGGAAGGUGGGGAUGACGUCAAGUCAUCAUGGCCCUUACGACCAGGGCUACACACGUGCUACAAUGGCGCAUACAAAGAGAAGCGACCUCGCGAGAGCAAGCGGACCUCAUAAAGUGCGUCGUAGUCCGGAUUGGAGUCUGCAACUCGACUCCAUGAAGUCGGAAUCGCUAGUAAUCGUAGAUCAGAAUGCUACGGUGAAUACGUUCCCGGGCCUUGUACACACCGCCCGUCACACCAUGGGAGUGGGUUGCAAAAGAAGUAGGUAGCUUAACCUUCGGGAGGGCGCUACCACUUGGU